Long non-coding RNA from Zingiber officinale, 452 nucleotides. RefSeq lists it as uncharacterized. Lineage: Eukaryota; Viridiplantae; Streptophyta; Magnoliopsida; Zingiberales; Zingiberaceae. The transcript has 3 exons. The record is from RefSeq and is a predicted model, not a curated record.
AACAUGAUUGCUGCUGGAAUGGAAGAUUCUAGUAUUUUGAUCUAUAAUAUUCGGAUUGAUGAGGUUCAUAAUCUCGUGCUUUCUAUUUGUCAAACUAUGUCGAUUCUUGAUGCCUUCUAUAGUUUGUAUUGCUUUUGAAAUUCAAUAGGUAACUUCCUCUUUUGCAUUACUUUGAAAUCAUUGUCUAUAAUGUCACUUUCUUUCAGAUAUUUUGAAGGUAAAUGGAUGUAUUCAGGAACUCCAACUAAACAGUUCAGGUAUUGGAGAUGAGGGUGCAAGGGUUAUUGCAGAUAUGCUGAAAGAAAAUCAAACUUUACGUGUACUGGAACUUAACAAUAAUAUGAUUGAAUAUUCUGGUUUUGCAAGUCUUGCUGGAGCACUAGUUGAGAAUAAGGCAAUUCGAUCUAUACAUCUCAAGCUAAUAAGACUUACACACACUUAGAUUUUCUAUC